Molecule: small nucleolar RNA, 124 nt
Organism: Nycticebus coucang (slow loris)
Lineage: Eukaryota; Metazoa; Chordata; Mammalia; Primates; Lorisidae
Product: small nucleolar RNA SNORA11
Exons: 1
Source: RefSeq, a predicted model, not a curated record
AGAAACCACCACAGGGGCCUGAAAAAUGGCUCCUCUGUUUAUAACACACCCAACAGGAAUUUGGGGUCAUUGUGAUGGGGGGCACAAAACUUGUGGCCUCCCCAUGAAUGAACUACCUCCACGU